GAAAUGCGAUAAGUAAUGUGAAUUGCAGAAUUCAGUGAAUCAUCGAAUCUUUGAACGCACAUUGCACCUCAUGGUAUUCUGUGAGGUAUACAUGUUCGAGCGUCGUUUAAACCGUAAGACUCUGUCUUGUGUUGACGUUCCUGAGGUUAAACUCAGGGCGUUGAAAAUGAUUGGCGCACGAGUUGUUGAGACCACCCAAUAUAACGGGGAAGAGUCUGGACAGUGUGAGCAGCCGAAAACCUUUUUUAAACGUUCGACCUCGAAUCAUGUAGGAUUACCCGCUGAACUUAA
Molecule: unclassified non-coding RNA, 291 nt
Filed under: uncultured Ascomycota
Lineage: Eukaryota; Fungi; Ascomycota
Description: sequence contains ITS1
Rfam family: 5.8S ribosomal RNA (bases 1-105)
Source: RNAcentral